RNAcentral lists this ribosomal RNA (450 nucleotides) under uncultured bacterium. RNAcentral describes it as "partial 16S ribosomal RNA". It matches the Rfam family "Bacterial small subunit ribosomal RNA", at positions 354 to 796 of the family's 1533-position model. The record is from RNAcentral.
GUGAGGAAUAUUGGGCAAUGGGCGAAAGCCUGACCCAGCCACGCCGCGUGAGUGAUGAAGGCCUUCGGGUUGUAAAGCUCUGUGGGGUGGGAAGAAAAAGCGGGAGAGUAACUGCUCUCGUGUUGACGGUACCUCCUUAGCAAGCACCGGCUAACUCUGUGCCAGCAGCCGCGGUAAUACAGAGGGUGCAAACGUUGCUCGGAAUUACUGGGCGUAAAGCGCGUGUAGGCUGACAUGCAAGUCGGGUGUGAAAUCCCAGGGCUCAACCUUGGAACUGCACUCGAAACUGCACGUCUUGAGUACUGGAGAGGGAAGCGGAAUUCCGGGUGUAGAGGUGAAAUUCGUAGAUAUCCGGAGGAACACCAGUGGCGAAGGCGGCUUCCUGGACAGUAACUGACGCUGAGACGCGAAAGCGUGGGGAGCAAACAGGAUUAGAUACCCGGGUAGUCC